Molecule: ribosomal RNA, 402 nt
Filed under: uncultured bacterium
Lineage: Bacteria
Description: bacterial SSU rRNA
Rfam family: Bacterial small subunit ribosomal RNA
Source: RNAcentral
AAUCAACGCUGGCGGCGUGCCUCAGACAUGCAAGUCGAACGAUUAAAGCUCUCUUCGGAGAGUGUAUAAAGUGGCGCACGGGUGAGUAACACGUAAGUAAUCUACCUUCGAGUGGGGAAUAACGUCCGGAAACGGACGCUAAUACCGCAUAAUGCACCGGCAUCGCAAGAUGACAGUUGUUAAAGAUUUAUCGCUUGAAGAGGAGCUUGCGGCAGAUUAGCUAGUUGGUAAGGUAAUGGCUUACCAAGGCUACGAUCUGUAACCGGUCUAAGAGGACGGUCGGUCACACUGACACUGAAUAACGGGUCAGACUCCUACGGGAGGCAGCAGUCGGGAAUUUGGGUCAAUGGGCGAAAGCCUGACCCAGCAACGCCGCGUGAAGGAUGAAGUAUUUCGGUAUGU